AUGAGAAAUCACAUACAAAACUGGAUUUUAAAUGCAUAGAAAGUGUUGAGUUGUUUCUGGACAUUCAUCAAUAUCUGCGUAUAUAAAGGAAAGCUUUGGGAAUUUGUUGCUCAAUCUAUAGAAUGCAGGGACAAUUUAGCUGCAAACUCGACACCUGAAAACAGUAAAAAAAACACAUCACUGACACUAUCCAAAACACAAUUUCUCCUAUGAUGUUCAAUUCCAUUCAUUCAAAUCUAAACAAACUAAAUUUCAAAACAUCAUAAACUAUAUGGUUCAAAUCAGUAGAGUCAGAUAUUCUAAGAGUCCCAACAUCAAACACCUGGUGUUCACAGAAAUACAAUUCCACAACAUUAUUGUAAUCCCAAACCCAACCAUCCCCAUCACAGUAACAGUAUUCCUUAAUAUCAAAAUAGCAACAACAACAACCACAACAACUUUAGCAUUCCCCAAAACUUGCAGCGUCAAAGCACUCGUAUGU
Molecule: non-coding RNA, 481 nt
Organism: Vicia faba (fava bean)
Lineage: Eukaryota; Viridiplantae; Streptophyta; Magnoliopsida; Fabales; Fabaceae
Source: the annotation of a GenBank genome assembly